RNAcentral lists this ribosomal RNA (429 nucleotides) under Bacteroidota bacterium. Its description in RNAcentral is "Bacteroidetes bacterium partial 16S ribosomal RNA". It matches the Rfam family "Bacterial small subunit ribosomal RNA", at positions 355 to 776 of the family's 1533-position model. Lineage: Bacteria; Pseudomonadati; Bacteroidota. The record is from RNAcentral.
UAGGGAAUCUUCCGCAAUGGACGCAAGUCUGACGGAGCAACGCCGCGUGAGUGAAGAAGGAUUUCGGUUCGUAAAACUCUGUUGUUAGAGAAGAACAGCGCAUAGAGUAACUGUUAUGCGUGUGACGGUAUCUAACCAGAAAGCCACGGCUAACUACGUGCCAGCAGCCGCGGUAAUACGUAGGUGGCAAGCGUUGUCCGGAUUUAUUGGGCGUAAAGCGAGCGCAGGCGGUCAAUUAAGUCUGAUGUGAAAGCCCCCGGCUCAACCGGGGAGGGUCAUUAGAAACUGGUUGACUUGAGUGCAGGAGGGGAGAGUGGAAUUCCAUGUGUAGCGGUGAAAUGCGUAGAUAUAUGGAGGAACACCAGUGGCGAAGGCGACUCUCUGGUCUGUAACUGACGCUGAGGUUCGAAAGCGUGGGUAGCAAACAGG